UACGAAGGGUGCAAGCGUUACUCGGAAUUACUGGGCGUAAAGCGUGCGUAGGUGGUGAGUUAAGUCUGUCGUGAAAGCCCCGGGCUCAACCUGGGAAUGGCGAUGGAUACUGGCUCGCUAGAGUGCGGUAGAGGAGAGGUGGAAUUCCCGGUGUAGCAGUGAAAUGCGUAGAGAUCGGGAGGAACAUCAGUUGCGAAGGCGGCUCUCUGGACCAGCACUGACACUGAGGCACGAAAGCGUGGGGAGCAAACAGG
RNAcentral lists this ribosomal RNA (254 nucleotides) under uncultured bacterium. Its description in RNAcentral is "partial 16S ribosomal RNA". It matches the Rfam family "Bacterial small subunit ribosomal RNA", at positions 524 to 776 of the family's 1533-position model. The record is from RNAcentral.